This 623-nucleotide long non-coding RNA is filed under the name Callithrix jacchus (white-tufted-ear marmoset). RNAcentral's name for it is "lncRNA (ENSCJAG00000076302.1)". The record is from RNAcentral. Lineage: Eukaryota; Metazoa; Chordata; Mammalia; Primates; Cebidae.
GUUGGCAGGGAUAAGUGACUCUGGGUAUCAGGAGAAGGGAGAGUUCUGGUUCCCAAGGAGGGCGGGGAGGAAUUGUUUGUCUUUCAUGUGAACCAUCUAAGCAACUUGGUAUUUCUUUGCUCAAUCUUGAAUUUAAAUUAAAUUAAAAGGUUCAGGAGCCAGAAAAAAAAAAAAAAAACAUGACAAGGACUCAGAGCUCUCAGUAAUGAGGAUCUGGAUUCCCCGACCAGGUCAGUCAUCUAGAAUAGCAAGAUUCUGAGAGUGAAGGGAAGCUAGAGUGGAAAGUAGAGGGAGAGAAUACGUAUUAGCUGAUGCUCUGAGAUUUGCUUUGGUCAUGGUGAUUAUAGUUUGUACCACUAACCUCUCUUUUCAACAUUUCCCCCAGGAAAAGAGACAGCAGGAUACUGGAGCCACUGCUCAAGUUAUAUGAAGAAGUACAUGAACUGAAAUGGACACGAGGUUGUGCUACCAGGAUCCCUGCAUUGGUUAGCAUGGUAAAAAUCCCACACAUAAUGAGAAUUCAGGAGCACAGUAUCACAAUGGCCAAGAACUAUCUUAGAGAAGACAGGUACACUAUUAUUCUCAUCUUAAGUAUGAAAAUAAAUGAAGUGCAGAGAGGAUAA